UACGUAGGGUGCGAGCGUUAAUCGGAAUUACUGGGCGUAAAGCGUGCGCAGGCGGUUCGUUGUGUCGGUGGUGAAAGCCCCGGGCUUAACCUGGGAAUGGCCAUGGAAACUGGCGAACUGGAGUGUGGCAGAGGGGGGUGGAAUUCCUGGUGUAGCGGUGAAAUGCGCAGAUAUCAGGAGGAACACCUACGGCGAAGGCAGCUCGCUGGGACGGUACUGACGCUGAGGCGCGAAAGCGUGGGUAGCAAACAGG
This 253-nucleotide ribosomal RNA is filed under the name uncultured bacterium. RNAcentral describes it as "partial 16S ribosomal RNA". It matches the Rfam family "Bacterial small subunit ribosomal RNA", at positions 524 to 776 of the family's 1533-position model. The record is from RNAcentral.